RNAcentral lists this unclassified non-coding RNA (332 nucleotides) under soil metagenome. Its description in RNAcentral is "partial contains 5.8S ribosomal RNA, internal transcribed spacer 2, and large subunit ribosomal RNA". The stretch from base 1 to 120 matches the Rfam family "5.8S ribosomal RNA", at positions 35 to 154 of the family's 154-position model. The record is from RNAcentral.
GAUGAAGAACGUAGCAAAAUGCGAUAAGUAAUGUGAAUUGCAGAAUUCAGUGAAUCAUCGAAUCUUUGAACGCACAUUGCGCCCGCCAGUAUUCUGGCGGGCAUGCCUGUUCGAGCGUCAUUUCAACCCUCAAGCACAGCUUGGUGUUGGGACUCGCGUUAAUUCGCGUUCCGCAAAUUGAUUGGCGGUCACGUCGAGCUUCCAUAGCGUAGUAGUAAAACCCUCGUUACUGGUAAUCGUCGCGGCCACGCCGUUAAACCCCAACUUCUGAAUGUUGACCUCGGAUCAGGUAGGAAUACCCGCUGAACUUAAGCAUAUCAAUAAGCGGAGGA